Long non-coding RNA from Micropterus dolomieu (smallmouth bass), 775 nucleotides. RefSeq lists it as uncharacterized. The record is from RefSeq and is a predicted model, not a curated record. The transcript has 3 exons. Lineage: Eukaryota; Metazoa; Chordata; Actinopteri; Centrarchiformes; Centrarchidae.
CCUUCGAUUAACGGCCAACCCGCUCUAACUCCUGAGCCACAGCCGCCCCAAUACACCCAUACUUUUUUUUAGGGUUCUUCAGGGAGACUACUCUCCCCUUGUUGGAUUCAAACUCCAUAAAUAUUGGGCAGCUUAUCAGAUAUCAAGUCAUAACUGCUGCUAACUGCCGUUGGCAGCAGAACUUUGCAGGGCGAGCGGGCAAAGCAACUGGGCAAAGCAACCGGGCUCAGCAGCCUCCCAGUGAACACGGAGCCAGUUUGACAACAGGGAAUACAGUACUGAGAUGAGCUGAUGGGUACUGGAAUCCCACAUGCAGACCUGCCUGUCAUAGCCACAGGUGAGGAACUGGGGCUUUGAGGGGUGGACAGCCAGACCCCACAACUCAUCCGUGUGACCCUGUAGAGAAGAGGAGAGAUUUCUUACAGCAUCACAGCCUUUCAAAUCUGCUGUCCCACGAGACAAGCCUGCGGUCUUUCCCUCCAGACACCAGCGUGCCAUUCCUCAGCGUGGACAGAGCAAAGAUGCUGCCCUCGUGAGCUCCUUGGAUGACGUGGCUGAUACGAUUAGUGCCUGCUUGACAGAGAUGGGAUGAGAUGGAUGAGAAGGGUCAGUUGGAGAGAGUCCAACAUAAAGGUCGGCUGCUUGAGGAGAGCAGAUUAACAAACAGACAGAUAGACAGGGUGAUCAAUAGAUAAGAGGCAAAAAGAGAUAGUGGCAUUUUAAUGUAAUGUGUGUCUAAAUGUUGGAUUAAAUAAAGUUGAAAUUAAUAACUUAA